AUACGAAGGGGGCUAGCGUUGUUCGGAAUUACUGGGCGUAAAGCGUGCGCAGGCGGUUUUUAAGCCAGAGGUGAAAUCCCGGAGCUCAACUUCGGAAUUGCCUUUGGGACUGGAAGGCUUGAGAACGGUAGAGGUGAGUGGAAUUCCCAGUGUAGAGGUGAAAUUCGUAGAUAUUGGGAAGAACACCGGUGGCGAAGGCGGCUCACUGGACCGUUUCUGACGCUCAGGCACGAAAGCGUGGGGAGC
This 246-nucleotide ribosomal RNA is filed under the name uncultured bacterium. RNAcentral describes it as "partial 16S ribosomal RNA". It matches the Rfam family "Bacterial small subunit ribosomal RNA", at positions 523 to 769 of the family's 1533-position model. The record is from RNAcentral.